Anastrepha ludens (Mexican fruit fly) is the source of this 392-nucleotide long non-coding RNA. RefSeq lists it as uncharacterized. The record is from RefSeq and is a predicted model, not a curated record. NCBI's taxonomy places the organism in Eukaryota, Metazoa, Arthropoda, Insecta, Diptera, Tephritidae. The transcript has 3 exons.
AUGACAAAUUUUGGUCAUCAAAAACAGAGCGUUGACAUUGUUUCACGGAAAGCUAACGGUGACAUCCAUACCAUCAAUAAAUUCCAAAACCGGACUUUCGAAAAAAUAUGACCUAAUUACGCCGCCUGACCGCAAAGGGCACCAAGCUCCAAACGUCCCAGUCGUACCCGGGUUGGUGUUGGCAUAUUAUGUACCGAGCCAAAACGCAGUCAAGAAUUUUAUGAUGAUCGAAAUAUAAGGGCCAAUUAUUAGACGGAAAAGGAUACAAUUAAUUUUUCAAGUAAACUGGGCAAACUUUUAAGUGGUAAAAUUUAACUGGAAGACCGAAGAUCCUGAUUUUGCUUGCAUUUGUUCAGCAGGUUAACUAUCCUGUGUCGCUAUUCGGCUUUGGA